RNAcentral lists this ribosomal RNA (474 nucleotides) under uncultured bacterium. RNAcentral's name for it is "bacterial SSU rRNA". It matches the Rfam family "Bacterial small subunit ribosomal RNA", at positions 30 to 507 of the family's 1533-position model. The record is from RNAcentral.
AGUGAACGCUGGCGGCAGGCCUAACACAUGCAAGUCGAGCGGCAGCGCGUCCGACCACCCUCGGGUGGUCGGAUGGCGGCGAGCGGCGGACGGGUGAGGAAUGCAUCGGAAUCUGCCUCGUUGUGGGGGAUAACGUAGGGAAACUUACGCUAAUACCGCAUACGACCUACGGGUGAAAGUGGGGGACCUUCGGGCCUCACGCGAUGAGAUGAGCCGAUGCCGGAUUAGCUAGUUGGCGGGGUAAAGGCCCACCAAGGCGACGAUCCGUAGCUGGUCUGAGAGGAUGAUCAGCCACACUGGAACUGAGACACGGUCCCGACUCCUACGGGGGGCAGCAGUGAGGAAUAUUCGGCAAUGGGGGCAACCCUGACCGAGCAACGCCGCGUGGAGGAUGACGGUUUUCGGAUUGUAAACUCCUUUUCUCAGGGAAGAGCGAGGACGGUACCUGAGGAAUAAGUCACGGCUAACUACGUG